Molecule: ribosomal RNA, 245 nt
Filed under: uncultured bacterium
Lineage: Bacteria
Description: partial 16S ribosomal RNA
Rfam family: Bacterial small subunit ribosomal RNA
Source: RNAcentral
UACGUACGAGGCGAGCGUUAUCCGGAAUUACUGGGCGUAAAGCGCGCGCAGGUGGCGGAGUAAGUGAGACGUGAAAUCUCCCGGCCUAACUGGGAGGGGUCGUUUCAAACUGCUUGGCUUGAGGACUGCAGAGGUGGGUGGAAUUCCUGGUGUAGUGGUGAAAUGCGUAGAGAUCAGGAGGAACACCGGUGGCGAAGGCGGCCCACUGGGCAGUCACUGACGCUGAGGCGCGAAAGCUCGGGGAG